RNAcentral lists this long non-coding RNA (642 nucleotides) under Elaeis guineensis (African oil palm). RNAcentral describes it as "long non-coding RNA (EGUI_LNC031362)". Lineage: Eukaryota; Viridiplantae; Streptophyta; Magnoliopsida; Arecales; Arecaceae. The record is from RNAcentral.
GUUCUCGAUGUGCUGGUGAUUUCAUGGUCCAAAAAUCCCUAAGAGCCCAAUAAUUCUUUAAGAAAACCCUCUCUUCAAUUUCCUUUGAACUAUAGAUAGAGAUUUUCUGCCUUUUAUUUGCUGAUUUCUUAGGGUUAAACUUGAUUUCAAACUGCUCAAUUUUGGCCAUCCACGUUCAUUGGUUUUCCAGCACUGUCCGGCACUGUCUGUCACCAUCGAAUACCCAAUCGGGGAGCCACGGGUGCACCACCAUGGGCUAGACUCUUGGUCAUCUAUUUUAGACAAGUUUCCCAUAGAGUUGGAAAGGAGAAGAAGGGGAUCAUGGAUCCCCUAUUCUGCCAAAUCGAAGGAAGAAAAAUGUGGAAAGAAAGAGGAAGAAAAAAAGAAGAAAAAGAGAAGAAAAAAAAGAAAAUAGAAGAGAGAGAGAUUCUCUCUCCUUUCUCUAAGUUUAAAUCCUCUCUUUCUCUCUCUAGAAGUUUUACUUUGUCUCUCUAAAUUUUUUUCUCUCUCGAUUGUAUCUCUUUUGAUUGAUUUCUCUCUUUAAAAUUUUCUCUCUCUAGAGGUUAUCUCUCUACGAUUGAUCUAGUGAAAGAUUCUUUUUAGUGAUUUUGAUUUAAUCUUAGCAAAGAGAAUCAUGAUCCA